GAUGAACGCUGGCGGCGUGCCUAAUACAUGCAAAUCGAGCGAACGGACGAGAAGCUUGCUCCUCUGAUGUUAGCGGCGGACGGGUGAGUAACACGUGGAUAACCUACCUAUAAGACUGGGAUAACUUCGGGAAACCGGAGCUAAUACCGGAUAAUAUUUUGAACCGCAUGGUUCAAAAGUGAAAGACGGUCUUGCUGUCACUUUUAGAUGGAUCCGCGCUGCAUUAGCUAGUUGGUAAGGUAACGGCUUACCAAGGCAACGAUGCAUAGCCGACCUGAGAGGGUGAUCGGCCACACUGGAACUGAGACACGGUCCAGACUCCUACGGGAGGCAGCAGUAGGGAAUCUUCCGCAAUGGGCGAAAGCCUGACGGAGCAACGCCGCGUGAGUGAUGAAGGUCUUCGGAUCGUAAAACUCUGUUAUUAGGGAAGAACAUAUGUGUAAGUAACUGUGCACAUCUUGACGGUACCUAAUCAGAAAGCCACGGCUAACUACGUG
This 497-nucleotide ribosomal RNA is filed under the name uncultured bacterium. Its description in RNAcentral is "partial 16S ribosomal RNA". It matches the Rfam family "Bacterial small subunit ribosomal RNA", at positions 28 to 507 of the family's 1533-position model. The record is from RNAcentral.